This 336-nucleotide long non-coding RNA is filed under the name Malus domestica (apple). RNAcentral's name for it is "long non-coding RNA (MDOM_LNC005816)". The record is from RNAcentral. Lineage: Eukaryota; Viridiplantae; Streptophyta; Magnoliopsida; Rosales; Rosaceae.
AAACCGUUUGAGGGAGAAUACUCUAUGAUAUGAUUUAGAAUCUCUGGCCAGAGUAUAAAUGAGAUUUAGAAAAGUCGUUCUAAAUCACAUUCAAGGAAAUCAUAUAAGCACACGAAUCACACAUUGGAUAGUAGACAUGAAUAAAUAAACUAUCAAACCAAACAAUGUGGUCAGGAGUAUAUUAGAUUAGAGAAAGACCGUAUUGCAUUUGUAAUCCCAAACUGAAUAGGUUUUCUCUACCUCUUCUGAUUAGCUUGGGUAACCAUGAUAUGCUGCAAUGUGUCACUCAUGGUUUGUGGAAGCCCUAAACGUGUGUAAUCACUAAAGGGAGAAUUG